UACGGAGGGAGCUAGCGUUGUUCGGAAUUACUGGGCGUAAAGCGCACGUAGGCGGCUUUGUAAGUUAGAGGUGAAAGCCCGGGGCUCAACUCCGGAAUUGCCUUUAAAACUGCAUCGCUAGAAUUGUGGAGAGGUAAGUGGAAUUCCGAGUGUAGAGGUGAAAUUCGUAGAUAUUCGGAAGAACACCAGUGGCGAAGGCGACUUACUGGACACAUAUUGACGCUGAGGUGCGAAAGCGUGGGGAGCGAACAGG
This 253-nucleotide ribosomal RNA is filed under the name uncultured bacterium. Its description in RNAcentral is "partial 16S ribosomal RNA". It matches the Rfam family "Bacterial small subunit ribosomal RNA", at positions 524 to 776 of the family's 1533-position model. The record is from RNAcentral.